AUGAGAAAACCAGGUAGGUUGACGGCAUGUUUUUCUGUCCCAUCCCUAUAUCACAUGUGGGUUCUAGUCUUGUACAGAACAGGGAGUCCUAAUGACAACCGAGUCGGGAGCCCCCUAUUCAAACACCUUGUAUUUGCACAAAAGGUGCAAGGCAAAUGCAUUGCUAAGAGAACCUUGUCUGUGUAUGGUGUCUCAUGCCCCCUCACACGUGUCCAGGGAACACAAGAUUUGACAUGA
Molecule: non-coding RNA, 237 nt
Organism: Vicia faba (fava bean)
Lineage: Eukaryota; Viridiplantae; Streptophyta; Magnoliopsida; Fabales; Fabaceae
Source: the annotation of a GenBank genome assembly